GUCCAAUUGCCCACUGACCUCUCACCUCACUCGGGAUGUGGUUUGUUGGGCACUUACAGCUUUUCCCUCUCGGCUCUCCAUCCGCACCCUUCAGUUGAAGGUCUUUUGCUGACAGGAUAGAGUUCCCCAAAGGACAAGGGCAGAGCUAGUGAGUCAUUUCAGCACCCCAAUUAGACUCUCUCCUCUGCCCAGAGACCACACGGCGUCUUAAUCAGCUGCUUGGAAGGUGUACCUGGCAGCUCACGGUUUACAUGAAGGACCUGGCCUCACCAAGAAGCUGAGCCCUCAGGAAGACAACAGCCUUUGGGUACUUCCUGUAGCUAAUGCUGAGCAGAGGAAGGAGAGUCCCCCCUCCAGACUCACCCAUCCAAGGAGCUGGUUUCAGGAAACUCAAGAAAUCAUAUGCUGCAGAAGGUUUGGAAAAGGUUGCCCAGGUUUUACAUGAAGAAAGGGACUCUAUCUGUGUGAUUCACCACUGAGUUCCCAGUACGCUGCAUGCUGCAGGCAUAUAGAAGCUCAGAUUCAUAGCUGAUAAAUCUUAAAGAGAGGAAAACACAGUCACAGGGAGUUCCCUUGCAUUGCCUGAAAUUCCACAGCAAGUCAGCGACAAAGCUGGGAGGAGACUCUGUCCUUCCAACUCACAGGCCAGUUCUCUGCGGGAAGCCGUUGUCUGUCUCCUCUUAGGCUCCUUUGGACGCCUCUGGGUGUCAGUUCUCCCAGGGGAAGCAGCGGCUGGGGUUGCGUCUUGAAGCUCGAACUGGCUUUGAGACUGUGCCUGAGACAGGGUGGGCAGGACUCAAAGGUCUGAAAAAGCUGGGAAGGGCCUGAUUUUGGUAAAAUUGGGCCUUCCUGUAGCAACUGGCAGGGGGAGUGACUUGGUCCUCGGGGCAGGAGUUCCCGUGGCCCAGAAUUGCCCAGCAGUCAAAUGUUAGGACACCGGUGUCUGGAGGAGCUCCUGGAAAGGGUCUUCCCGCAGCCUGGCCCUGUGGAGUUGAGGGAGGUUUGGGGAUCUCUCCUCCAGGACAGGCUCCAGAGAGCCCGCAGCAAAAGGGACAGUGUGCCUGCCCCGUGCCUCCCCUGUAGGGCUCUGCUCUGUUUCUUAAGGGGAAGGCUUCUAGCUAUAGUUUUGUGAGCUCCGUUCAGAAAGCUGCCUUCCCCAUGGACAACCCUGACUGGAUCAGAAUGUGAGCAGGAGGGAAACUGACUUUCUAAGAGUCUGUGCUUGGACUGGCCAGCCUUUGUUUCAAGGUCCUGAGAGCCAUGGGACUGAGAGUGUAGGACUGAAGCAGACUUUUGAACACCUACGUUUGCUGUGCCUCAGUUUCCCCACCAGGAGCCUGUUGUCCAGGGGUUUGGAAAGCCGAUCCAGGAAAACACCUGCGACUGUAGGCAGCUCUGGUCCUUCCGAGGCCCUGCUCAUCAGACUUCCCCAGGGUCAGACAUCCUUCCGCACAGCUCUUGUUCAGUCUGUGGCCCAAACAGCCUAGGGCAUGAUGGAGGCCCGGAACAAUGGUGGUUUUGCUUACACAGCGUGCUUGGCCGCUGGCUGGACUCACGCAAUGCUCACGGAACCGGUGUGGGCUGCCACAGCUUCCCUGUGGGACAUUUAGCUCCCUCACUUCAAGUCCAUCAAAGGACUUGUUAUCCUGGUCCCCUUUCUGUCCGUUGUUCCUCUCCCCUUGGGGCUGUCCUCUCACCCUCUCCUGCCAUCCCUCCUCUUUCCAAGCUCUUGCCCCACAGAACUGCAAGGACUCUGAGACCUGGGACGUCUCACGGAGCCGGCUUUUGUCAGGCCAGUCUCCAUCGCUCUGGGGAGUCUGAAGGCUUUUUCUUUUAAAGAUAAGUUGGGGAGAGGGUUAGAAGAGUGCUGAGAAGUGACGCCUGUUUCUUCUUUCUUUUCCUUUCCCCCUCUGGGGCUCAGAGACCAGGGUUUUUUUCUUUUUUACAGUACAAUUUGGCAGGCCCCAUCUUUUUCUGACAGAAAAAAAAUAACAGGCAUAUUUUGGGCGAUUACUCAACUGGGGUCCUUUGUGACAGGAUAUGCAGCUGCGUGACUAAUGGAGCUGGCUUUCUCCUGGCUUCCUUCCCCUUUCAGAGUUCUUGUUUACUGUGCUAUACCAAAAAAAAAAAAAAAUGCCAUAAGCUACAGAUUUUUAUUAAAAAAAUUGCCUUGAGAGAUACUCAAAGGCAAUAAAUCCUGGGAUACUCCAUUGCCAGGGCCGUGAGUCCACACCCUCUUCCACUUUUUCUUUUCAAAUGCUCAAGCCCUUGACUCAUGACAUGUGAAUCUUCUUCUCCCACCCCCACAUCCCUGUUUUCUUCUGAACAUAUGUCCAACAGAUCGUGUGUGUGAGUGUGAGUGUGUGUGUGUGCGUGCGCGCGUGCACGUGGUGGGGGAAGGGAGCAAGAUGGGAACCAUAUUUUUAGUGCUUAACUCAGCAAUUGCUAAAGGAAGGAAUAAUGACUUCCAGGGGCCUCAGGGCCUUUUUUUUCCCAAGGCCUAUGCAUUUCCAUAAUCUACGGCAAUUUUGUGGUGUAAGCAAAAGUUAUUACAAAACAUGGAACUAGCUUAACGAGGAAGGGUAUGUUCUAAACGGGGGAACUGUCUCUUUACAGAAGAAAUCCACGUUUGGAGGGCUUUGGAAUUCAGAAUCCUCAGGCUUCCCAUAGAACUUUUGGAAGAGACUUUCGCUAGCUUGUAGCGUUCAACAGCUGGAGCUGGCCUUUUAACUUUCCUAGAGAUCAACAAGCUUUUCGUUUCAAAAGGUAUAUGGCCUGUGGAUGGGAAAAAUUGACUAGCGACUUAGCUUUGAUAGAGACAGAUUGGUGUAGAUGAGGCACAAGAUUUGUGGCCAGGUGAUGGGUUGGAGCCUUGAUUGUGAAAUGGAGCAAGUCAUUUAAGAUCUGUAGGUCUCUGAUGUUAAGACAAGGAUAGCAUCUCCUCCUGCCUAGGUUGCUGGCAAGAAAAGUGAGACGAUAGCAGUCCAAGGCGUGGGGGGAGCUACAAAGAAGUAUGCAGUGAUCACUUCUAAUGCUCCUUCAUCCAAAGGGUGGGCUCAAGCAAGCAUUCAACAGAUGAGAGGGGCUUGUUCCAUGAGAACUAUGAUGCCAACUGAUGUGCAGGGGCGAGGGUACUCAUACGGUGACCCAGGAUGCAAUAUUGCAGGGGUGUUUUUGAGGCUGAUCUGGCCUCCAACUUUGCCCACACCCUAGUCAUCUUCCACGCAGGUCUCAGAAUCAGAACUUCGAUCAUGUUCCUUUCAGGAAACUGUCUCAUCGAACCCAGACAAAAGGCUCCGCUAACCUCAUUGUGCCUGCCUUUUCUUCUGUUAUGAAUUCAUUUUUUGGCGUGUACUCUGCCCUAGAGAGGUGAAUACCAGACACAGUCUACUCUGGCCCCUGGCCCAACAUUUUUACUGGAUGUUGGUUGGAGGCCCCCCCUCCUCCUUUACCUUCCGUCGGUUCCUCUUCCUGCUCCUCUCUGUUAAACCUUGCUCAUUUGUCAUUUCUUUUAAGAUUCCAUCUACAACUUAGCUCCUCCUAGAGUCUCCAUGACCAAGGACUCCUUGAGUGGACACUCCAAACCCUCCAGUAAACCAUAGCAACUAUCUUUUUUACUCCUCAUAGCUCAAGUCUAAUGUCCUCGGCAAGGGAAGUUGACUUGAUUUUGCCAGAGGGUAAACUGAGGCACCAGUCAGGGAACUAACUGGCCAGGGAUUACACAGCAAGUCCGCGACACAGACAGGAAUAGAAACCCCACAUCCUGAUUCCAUUUCGCCUGGAGUUUAAAGAGGCACCUUAGCUUGGAUAUCCCAGAAUAGCUUCUCCCAGGCCGACCAGCUGUGAAGUGAUGUGUUGCAAGGGUUAUUUUUUGCCUUGGCUUAAUGCUUAAAAAAACACCCCAAACUCCUAAAAUCGGCUAAGAAAAUCCGUUUCUCACAAUGCCCUCAGCUUGCGGAGUUUAAACCCAGUAUAUUACAUCAUGAACGCCUCCUGGCCUCCCUCUCACUCACAGUGACGCUCAGGUAUCUGAGUUAAGCUCAGAAAUCAUAGUUUAUUGAAGGAAACAGAUCAUUAAGUCACUCCACUGGACUGAAGCCGUCGACAUUGCUUAUUUGGAGAAGCUGAGCGUUGAAUAAUGCUCCCUUGAUUCAUGUGGACUGGACUAGCAGGAGCUGUUCAGCGAAGGGUGUGGCCAUCAGAUGGCAUGAGGCCCAUGGAGGCUGCUAGGAAGAGGGGAAGUGACAGUGGUGUGCUGGAGCUGGCUUGCACUGGCUUGUGAAGGCUGAUGGUUAAAUUUUCAGGAAUUUUGUGAUCCAGUCGGUAAACACAGCCAUUAUGAAAAAUUAAAUUGCAUAAACUUGCAAUUAAAUAAAUUAUAUUAACAACAAAGGUAUUAAAUACUAAAAAAAGAUCACAUUGUAAUCAUUCUGCUACAGUUUACUAUUAUCUAUGCUCUUGAUUUGUACGCCCAUUAUGUCUCUACGGUGGGAAUACCACACAGUGGGACGCUGCUGUGAACCUCUUCCCAAUUCCACACUCAGUAAUUGCACGUCAGGUAGGUUGAAAUCAGCCGUGGUAAGAGUAUUUACACCACAGAAGUUGGCAAACUCUACGAUUCAGGGUUUGAUUUAUUGUUUUGUUGCUUGUCUAGACUUAAGAAAGUGGUAGAGAACAUGUUAAUCAAGUAGAUUAAACAUAAACGUGUGCCAUAUCUUUUGCAACGACAUUGUGAAUAACACAGAGUCAAGGAACUAUUCUUCCAGGAUUCAAAAACGGUUAUCCAAUUCAGCAAAGAAGUCGCUCCUGUCAUUGAAAAAUGAAGUUCUGAAAUAGGUAUUUGUUGUUUUACUUUUUCUUACUUAUUAUUGUAAAUGCAAUAAUCAACCAACACUUAUGUCAAUUCUACACUUGGAAAGCUGAUUAUCAAACAUUUACCAGCACACUGGAGUGUAUAUGGACUACCUCCUUGGGGUCCCAGAGAAAGAACAUUGUAGUAUAGGUAGAACUCACCAGUAAGGAGCAUGUCGGGGGGACAGCCAUGGAAUAGGAGAUACUAAGCGCUGGGAAGACAGCAGCACAGAUGAUACAAUUUAGGGCCAGCAGCCAGAGACCAGCCCAUCAGGAUGGGCAUGUGGAAAAUAAACCAGAUAGGCUAAAUUGUACUACUGUAUCAACAAAGUUAGAUAGUGAAAAAAAAGCCAUGAUGACUUCUAAAUUCAAGGUGAGGAUUAAUAUCGUAUAUUCACAGCGCCUUACAGUUCUACAGCCUUCUUACGCAUGAGCUCAUAUGACCAUCAGAAAGAACUGUGGGGUAAAUGGGUAAAUUACCUAUCACCAUCAUACCCAUUUACAAAUGGGAAACUGAGGCAAUGGGUGGUUAACUAGUUUGCCCAAGAUUACUCUUUCUACAUAAAUGGCCAAGUUCGGUCUUGAUGGAGAAACAGAAAUGGCACAGACGUUUGGGGCAGUCACACCUGGGUUAAAAACCUAAGCUUGUCAUUUAUAUAACUUCGGUACGGUAACUUUACCUUUUUAAGCCUUGGGUUUUUGUUUUUUACUUUUUAUUGAGAUUAUGAUAGUUUACAACCUUGUGAAAUUUCAGUUGUACACUUUUAUUUGUCAGUCAUAUUAUAGGUGCACCACUUCACCCUUUGUGCCCACCCCCUAUGCCCCUUUUCCCCCGGUAACCACUAAUCUGUUCUCUUUGUCCACGUGUUUAACUUCCACAUAUGAGUGGAGUCAUACAGAGAUUGUCUUUCUCUAUCUCGCUUAUUUCACUUAACAUAAUACUUGGGGUUUUUUUUAAACCUAGAGAAUGGGGAUGAUAAUGCCUAGGUCACAAGUUUGUGGUGAGGGUUGGUUUAAAUGAGAUAAUAGGUGGCAAGGACCUGGUCCUCAGGAGGCCGUCGUAAAUGUUCAUUUCAAGGGAGGGAGAAACCAUGAUGUUUUAAAAUUAUUUACAUUUGAUUUUGAAAUGCAGAAUAAAACUCUUUUGACUAACAUAUUUACUUUUCUACUUAUAUUUUUUAGGUUUGGGUAAAAUUACUCUGCGUGGUUUUAGGCCAAACCAAUCUGAGGAGGUGGGGGCAGGGCCAGGGAGGAGGCAGAGGAGGCCCAGAAGAGAGCUAGCCUGGGACUCAGGUUUCACAAAGGCCUCUUUGCUCACUGGUAAUGGAGAGAAUCAAUACACGUUGUCACGUUCAGCAACACACAGCACCAUUCUUAGCCCCAACAGCUAGAGCUCCAGGUGGACUUCCCUUUCUAGACCUGGCCUCUAUGUCACCACCCGCAGAAAUGAGGAGGCCCAGCCUCUGACCCCUCUAUCCCCUAAAACACUCCCAGCCUCAGCACCACACUCUGCCUUGGGGAGGACUAUCUCCCAGGCAGCAGAGGCCUCGGCCAUUCCUCAUCUCCCUGGCCAGAGAGGCAGCCCUCACCCACCAGGACUCCUCCUCUUUCCUCCUGGAUUUACCUUUCUUCUUAGCACUCAUCAUCCUGUGCCAUACCAUGUAAUUUACUAGACUGGGAGCUCCAUGAGGGCAUUUGUUUAUUUCAUCUGGGACCUAGAACAGUGCCGGGGAACACAGAAGGUGCUCAGUAAGUAGUUACUCAAAGAAGAGGGUGUCGUCACCCCACUCCCGUUUUUUUCCUAUUUCAAAUAACAAUCCAUUUUUUGAUCAACUUCACUGGACUCAGAUUUGGCUUAUGUCUCACGAGGGUAAACCAUGGUGGUGAAGGGUGUCGUCAAAGGCCUGAGGCAGAGCUCCAUGAAGGCAUCCCUGAAGCUGGUCCUCUGACCAGCCCUCAGACACUGAACGAGCAAUCCAGCUCAGUGGUUAAGAAGAUGCUGGUUCAAAUCCAGCCCCUACCACUGAUUAGCUAUGCAACCUUAGGCAACUUAUUUCUUCUCUCUGAGCCUCGUUUUUCUUAUCUGUAAAAUGUGGGUAAAAAUAUCCAUAGGUGGUGGCAUGGAUUAAUGAGAAAAAGCAUGGUGAGUGCUUAGCACACAGCCUGGCAUGGGGAAAGGGAGCCAGUAUUCGUCGCACAGUGAAGGUGGUGGAGGCGCAGGAGGGGGAUUUGGGCAGCGUGGAAGAGCAAUUCUAGGACAGCUGGAAAAGCCACACGUGCUGAAGACCUUGGCUUCUGUAGACACAGAUGACACCUGAUCAGCACAGCAUGGGGAACUGCAAAGGGGCUCUGGAGCAGUGACACUGCCUCAGGAGGGCCUGGUGAAGCUUUGGGGCUGUCACCAUCGCGGCCUAGCUGGACCCAGAGGCUGUUGUAGUGACUUUGUGACUUCGUGUAACUUCAUGUAUGGUGUCUAACACAGCUUUCUCUCCUGGGCAAAAUAAUGGCAAACGUGCCUCAACAUGUAGGGAGGGUACCACGGCUGAAGCCACAGCUGAGAAUCAAGGACACAGGAGUCACGAGAUGCACAGAGGUGAGGACUACAGGGUUUAGAACAAUCGGGAGGACUCCUGGGAGGAGCCAUAGAACAAAGAGAGAGGGCGGCCUCAUUUUCCUCCCACGAGACAGUCAUGGUUUCAUUAUGGGAGGUGAGUGUCCAGGGGGCGUUGGAGGGAAGGGACAUGGUGAAGAGGCAGGAGGAGAGACAUCAAGGACAGGAAGCGGCAUGUAUGACAGCGUCAAGUCCGACGUGAAGAGGCCUGGGAGGGGAAGCAGGGCAAGUAGGGGUACCCAGGGAGCCACAGUCUAUCCGGCUUCGGGCAGGCCUGCAUAUAUCAAUCGCUGGCUGCACAGGCUGCCCCCUGAACUGGUCCCCCCGGGCCGGCCCAAUUUAGGCUCAAAGCUCCGCGUUCUGCUUGGUAUUUUAAAUGCUGUGGGUGCUCAAGACAGUAUAGGAUAUAUGAAGACCGGCCUGGAACAGGAGCCAGGAGAUUUAGUUUGAGGUGCCCGAAAUGUCGUUUUCUAACUUCGAUCUUGAGCCUCAGUUUCCUUGUCUGUGACACAGGGAGGAGCAUGCCUGGCUCCUUCACCGGGUCACUGCCAAGGCUGGAUGAGAUAGAGCAUUGAAAGGACGUGGUCAAUCUCUCAGGCCUGUCUGCCAUUACCCCCUGGGGCCUUUGGCUGUGGGUGCUCCGCGGACCACUCACUUCAGCAAGCCCACGGGGUAACGUGGCCCCUGGAGAGCAGCAGAGCUCUUCUGGUUGAUUCCGACCUCCUGCCAGCCUGCCUGCCUGUGGAGACGCGGCCCCUGGAAGCUGGGCAGAGAGCCUUGUCAGCCAGUCAGUGCAACUCAGGCGCUAAGCCAUGGCUGGACGUCCGCAAAGCACUUGGGGCUUUUUGCUUGAAAGCCACUGGAGAGAGCCAAAGCAUAUCUUCCCUCCUGUAUUCCUCAGCAGGGGGCUUCUGCCUCGCCCCAGAAGCACCUGUGCGGGUAUAGACACGCACACCUCCUGGACACUGAGUCUACCCCUGAUAGUGUGUGACACAGUGCAAAUUCCACUCUCCUGCAGCUACCUCUUCAACUACAGGCAUUCCAUGUAGCCUUAAUCUCCCCGGGCCUCAGUUUCCAGAGCUGCAAAUAGGAGCCAGAGAUGCUGUAAAUCCCCUACCUGCUGGGAAAUCUUCUGAAAGCUAUUAUGGAUAGUUUUAGAUUCUCUGGGACCCCAUGGGCCAGUCUGCAUUCCCAGACCAAAGCAGCCAUUCCCUCAUUCCAGCUCAGAGCGUUUGGUGUCCCCAGUUGUCACCCACUGUAUGGCUCUAGAGACAGCCUGCCAGGACAGGGUUCCAGCUUCCACUUACUAGCUGUGUGACUCUGGGCAAGUCACUUUAACCUCUCUGUGCCUAUAUUUUCUCAUCUCUGAAAGGAGGAAUUGGUUGUACUUAGCUCCUAGGUUGGUACAUAUGUAGUAUGAGCUCAUAUAUUUGAGUUGUGAGUUAAUGUCUGAGCUCAUACUGUAUACGUAAAGUCCUUAAACCAGUGCCUGGCACAUAGUAAGACUAAUUAUAAGUGGUAAAUAAUAAUAAUAAGUAUUAUUAUCCAUUUUCCACCCCAGCUAUUAUGCUGGCCCAUUUUCCUGACUUUCUCAGCAGACCCUCAGGGCCUGGCCCUAUCUGCUCCAGGUUUGCUGCUACCAUGAACCCCCAAAGACUCACGGAAGCAGCCGGUGGAAGAGAGGUUGUGCAAAGCGGGUUGGAAUGGAGGAUUGAGAAGAGGAUGUGACUGGGCUCAAGGGCAGGCGGGGGAGAAAAUAAACGCACAGGAACCAGGAUGAGGGAACAAUGCUCGGCCAGCCUCUCGGAGGCCCAUUAGCCCAAUGCGGAGCAGAGUGUCUGUGGAAUUGCUCCCGUAUCUGGGCUUCCCCAGCACCUACCUUAAUCUGCCUUUUAGUAACGUGUGUACCACAGUGGUAUAGAAUGAAUCCAGCUUUCCAGAUAUUGAGUUCACUGAGGGCGAGGCCUCAUCUUUGCAUUCCUUGUGUGGAGUGGGAACUCGAUAAAUGGCUCCUGAAUUGAACUGCAUUUGGAAGUUAGUGUAUUAACCAAACACCUCCUCCCUUGACUUAAAAUAGAAGGUUAAGAACGACUGUGGCCUCUUUGCCCCAACCCCAGACCUCUUCUUAGCACUUCUGUUUCUGUGCUGGGCCCAUGAGGGAAUCAGGAACCCCUAGCAAGCUGUGAGAAUGCGAAUGCUGUCCCAUGUCCAUUUGCCUAGACAUGGCGCCACUUUCCUGUCGUUUCUAACCCCUUCCCUGGCACUAUGUUGGAUCUGUGCCAGAUAAACCCAAGAGACUUGAAAUCUCCUCAAAUUAUAUCUCAGGAAAGCAAGGCCUCAACCCAGAUGUGUUUAGAUGCCCCAAACUCCCUCUAGAUAUUACUACCCCCAGUUCUCAAGAUACGGUCUCAAGGAAGCGGGGCAGGAAAGGCCUGGCUUAUCUCCCUCUCCUCUGCUUCUCCUCCCAGCCUGCAGGAGCUUUCUGCUGCCCCUUCCCACCUGGAGGAACUUCCCUCAGCUACCAACUAUAUCUUCCGCACUGUGACUUACAGUCAGGUCCCGUUAUCAGACUUCCAGGCUUGCAUAUGUAAGAGGAAAAUUUUUAAAUUUAGGAAUCCUCUUUCCACAAAGCCUCCAGCAACCCCACGUCAGCUUGGACGUUCAAGCUGAGCAGUGGCCCAUGGAAGCCAUAGCAUGAGAUGACUCACACAGAAAGGAAAAUACAAUGGUUUAUGAUGCUCAUUGGUGUCAUCCCAGCAUACUUAUGAAAGAAAACAUAUAUCAUGAUGUUAUUUCUGUAUAGUUUGCCAUAUCAUUUUAUACUUAUGUGUAUACAUUUAAAAUAAGUGGGAAGAGGGUACAGCAAAUAAAAGUGGGCUUUCCUGAGUGGUGGGAAUAGAUGUGAAUUUCGCCUCUUUCCUUUGGCUCAAGCAUAUUUUCUGAGUCCCUAUAAUCAAUAUAUGUUACCUUAGAGUAAAAAUAAAGAGACAAAAUUGAUGACUUCUAAUAUUUUAUAUGAAAUUUUAUAUAAAACAUACAAAUAUAUAUUUCAUAAAUAUAUAAGAAUAUAUAUGAGUAAGUGCAUAUCUUAUAUGUAAAGAAUUCUAUAUACCUCUUCAUUUAUAUAAUUAUAUGUUAUAUGACAUAAUAUGUAAUAUACAAUAUAAUGUAUACUGUACAUUAGUAUAUAGGUGACUAUUCAUAGAGCAGCAUUGGAAGGCAAUACAACAAAAUACUAUCAAUAGAUUUCCAGUUGUGUUUUUUGUAUUUUCCAAGUUUUUUGCAUUGAGCUUUUAUUAUUUUUGUAAUUAGGAGGAAAAAACUGCGUGUGUUUCACUUUGGUGAAGAUGAAAGUCUUCAAGUCAUUAUCUUUGUCUGCCCAGCCCAGGGCGUCUGCUUUUCUUAGCCUGAAAACAGAUGAAGAUUUGUUGCCAGCAAUGGCUCAUCCAAAAAUCUGACAUUUGCCCUGGACCUCUCCUCCUGCCUCCUUCCUCAUACUGGCUCACUAGUAAGCCCCCAGGCACUGAGCAACCCAGGACAAGAGGUCUGUCCAGUUAUCAUGGGUGCUUCUCCGACAGUCCAGGCUAGCUUUCCUCAGCAGGGACUUUCAUUUUGCCAACAGGGCUGGACUGGAAAGAGGCUGGAUCAAGGGUUUGGACUGUGUCUCCACAGGCUACCAUCUUGGGAGGGCCAGUGGCAGAUGCCAGGAGCUGGCUGGUGUCAGGGUACAAUCUGGUAGCCACCGAAGAGACCCUCGUCCUUGGAGGGUCUGUGAGCCCACAGACACCUGUUUGGCUUGACUCGCCUUGGCUGGGAGCAUUUCCGGCAGAGAUGAGUGCGAAAUGGAUGGGUGGUCGAGAGCUGAGACUGAGAGGGAAGAAAGGGUCUGCAGUGUUGAAAUGAGAUGUUUGUGAGCCCCUAUCUACAAACAGGCAAGUGCGGGCCUUAGACAAUGCUGCUGGCAAACUUGGAUCGAGUUUCAUUGUUUCCUGAAGCACUCCAGUGGAAGAGAAGGGUGGAACAGACUUGCUAGAGGUGCUCUCCACGUGAAAGGGAGGAUUAGAAGGAGCAAAUAGCCAGGAGGGCAAGGUGGACUCUGCGAUGACAGAGAGGAUGUGAGGGGUCAGGAUGUGAGCGGGAAAGCCAUUGCUGGGGAUUGCUGGGCACUAUGGUAGCAGUUCCUGGGUCCUUUCCGUGCCUGUGCUCCUGGCCUACUGCCCCCUACACGGAUUCAUGAGACCAAGAAGCAAAAGUGAGGGAAGAAGUGCUUUUCAGCAGAAGCACCCCAGAAACAAAGACAUUCCCACCAGUAGAGCUGCAGCACGGGGGACACUUGCCUCUCCCCCUGCCUCAUAACCAUGACUUUCUCACUCAAAGACUGUCCAUCUGUCCAGCCAUUCCGCCAAGCCCUGGAGCCCCAUGCUGAGUCCCUUUGGAAGAGUCCCAGCUCCUGGGGCGACCUCGGCAACAGCAGGGCCCACGGACUGCUCGGAUCCCAAACUUCCCAUCACAGGCAUGGGUCGGCCUGGCCCAUGGAAGUUAAAAUAACACGCUGGCUGUUUAUGAGCAAGAGUCCUCAAUAAAGUCAUUGGAUGGUUCCCUCGGCAGCGUGUCUAAUCUUCUCUGGCUGCCUUUCUGGGCCUGCAGCUCCUGAUCUAUUUUGGUCUCUCUCUUCUUUGACUCAUUCUGGGACUUCUGUGCCAUAAAUCCGAGCCCCCUCCAGGGCCUGGUCCCACCAGCAGGCAGACAAUUCAGAAUUAGCUGUGGUCAUGGUUGUCCAAACUGACAGUCAGGGAAACUGAGGCACAGCAGGCUACAGGGCUUUGUCCCACCUCCCACAGUGACCCAGCAGCACAGCUGCCAGCAAGGCCCAGGGUUCUGGCUGAGACUUUAAUACUGGAGCUUGCAGGGAAGGCUGGGGGCCAUGUGAACUGUUAUAAAGCUCUCAUUGGGCCAUACUUGGCCACAAAUCUCAGGACUGUGUGGCAAAUAGGAUUGCAGUGGGGGUGAUGUGUGUGUGUGUGUGUGUGUGUGUGUGUGUGUGUGUGUGUGUGUCAGUCACAGGCUUGAUUAUGGUGUUUGAAAUCUUCCCCAUGCCUGGAAUUUGACAAGCACAGAAUAGAGAAAGACCAGAAAACUCAAAAUAAUGGCAGCCAGAGAACAAAGAGCCUUCCCAAAGGCAUGGUUCAAGCUGUGGGCAAAAUGUCUUCCUGUUUCUCAUGUGAGGCCCCUGCCCCCAGGCCCAAGGGGCUGGCUGGGCUGGUUUGGCCUGUCCAAGGUCAUGACUGAACUCUGAUUCCUGCUGCUGCCCCAGGCCUCCCUGGGUGCCUGGCCUACGUGCUCUGGAGACUGGAGUGGAGGGUGGGGGAGGCAGGGAGGCUGUUAGGGUUUGAGAUACUUUCUAGGUGCCUCGGGGGACCUACAUAUUUCCUAUGUAAAGUUCAGUCUGUUUGCAAUUAGGCCUCUCUUCUUUGCUUGUUUCCGGAGAGAUUAAAAAUAGCGAAAUCAGCUUGAUCUGGGACUCUCUGAGAUCAACAAGGCCACUGUUUCCAACAGUAUGAAAAUACCAAGCAGUCCCACCCACAUUCAUGGGUCACACUGCGUGGCAGGCCUGGUAGGCUUUCUGUAAUGAAGGAACUUUAAGUUGCAUGAAUUCUCAACAGAUAAGACUCUGUCUUUUGGACCCCAGGAAGAUAGCUUCAACUAAAAUGGAAGGGGUUCCGCACUGUUUAGGGCCUGAAAUCCUUUCUGUCCUUCUAAACGAGCUCAAAGCUGUGAAAGCCUUUUCAGGAAAAUCUACCUUGGUUCACUUAUUUCACCAAUUUUAGCCUUUCCUUAGGGAUUUGGGCUCAGAGUGGAUCCUGGGCAGCUGUAGAUAUAAGGACGCUGCUCUUGACCGGUCACCAUCAGCACAACCAAUGCCGGG
Molecule: long non-coding RNA, 13388 nt
Filed under: Equus caballus (horse)
Lineage: Eukaryota; Metazoa; Chordata; Mammalia; Perissodactyla; Equidae
Description: lncRNA (ENSECAG00000057345.1)
Source: RNAcentral